Molecule: microRNA, 20 nt
Filed under: Corchorus olitorius
Lineage: Eukaryota; Viridiplantae; Streptophyta; Magnoliopsida; Malvales; Malvaceae
Description: cin-miR-4177-
Source: RNAcentral
UAUUUUUAAAUCAGCUAUUA